Molecule: ribosomal RNA, 253 nt
Filed under: uncultured bacterium
Lineage: Bacteria
Description: partial 16S ribosomal RNA
Rfam family: Bacterial small subunit ribosomal RNA
Source: RNAcentral
CACGUAGGGCGCAAGCGUUGUCCGGAAUUAUUGGGCGUAAAGAGCUCGUAGGCGGUCUGUUGCGUCCGCUGUGAAAACCCGGGGCUUAACCCCUGGCUUGCAGUGGAUACGGACAGACUAGAGGUAGGUAGGGGAGAAUGGAAUUCCCGGUGUAGCGGUGAAAUGCGCAGAUAUCGGGAGGAACACCGGUGGCGAAGGCGGUUCUCUGGGCCGAAAUUGACGCUGAGGAGCGAAAGCGUGGGGAGCGAACAGG